GGACGGGUGAGUAAUGUCUGGGAAACUGCCUGAUGGAGGGGGAUAACUACUGGAAACGGUAGCUAAUACCGCAUAACGUCGCAAGACCAAAGAGGGGGACCUUCGGGCCUCUUGCCAUCGGAUGUGCCCAGAUGGGAUUAACUAGUAGGUGGGGUAACGGCUCACCUAGGCGACGAUCCCUAGCUGGUCUGAGAGGAUGACCAGCCACACUGGAACUGAGACACGGUCCAG
This 231-nucleotide ribosomal RNA is filed under the name uncultured bacterium. RNAcentral describes it as "partial 16S ribosomal RNA". It matches the Rfam family "Bacterial small subunit ribosomal RNA", at positions 100 to 334 of the family's 1533-position model. The record is from RNAcentral.